RNAcentral lists this long non-coding RNA (2935 nucleotides) under Canis lupus familiaris (dog). RNAcentral's name for it is "lncRNA (ENSCAFG00845030528.1)". The record is from RNAcentral. Lineage: Eukaryota; Metazoa; Chordata; Mammalia; Carnivora; Canidae.
GUCAUCUUGAAUUGUCUCCUUAUCACUCGUUGCUUUCCUUUAGCGACCAGUAACUGGGAACAUGGUUAGAAGGGAGCAGUGCAUAUUUCCAGCAGACCUCAGGCUGGCCUGCAAUAAUCAGAGACAAGCCGAUGUCAACAGUGAGAUCGUGGACUCUGUAUAGUUUUUACAGAUUGAACAUGCAAAAAUUUCAUUAAGUAGGAAUUGAGAACACAAAGGAGGAACCUCAUCUCUCCCUUUGAAUGACAAUCUGUGAAAAAAAAAUCAUUAGACUACAUGAAUAAAGUUCAUUAGGAUAAAUGACCGUAAAACUAUAGAAUUGUCAAGAUCUCAUAUAAAAAAUUAAUGGUUAUCUCUAGGGGAUGCAAUCAUAUGUAACUUUUUAUUUUUUGUUUGCAUUGUCUAGCACUUCUACAAUAAAUAUAUAUAACUUGUAUAAUAAAAAAUAAAUAUAUCUUACAAUUUUUGCAAGUUUAAAUAAUCAUACCCCCAAAAUACCUAAGAAUAAAAAAAAAUUCACUUUUCAGCAUGUGUUUCCAAAAUUUUUCUUACACACUAGAAAAUUCAAUAUAAGCUAAACACAACAGAUGAAAAACUCUGAUGUGCACUUUUAAAAAUCAAGAGUUGGCUGUCUAUGUCACAAGUGCUGGACUAUGCAGAUAAACUAUAAAUUGCCCUCCAGUGUUUGAGUUUUCCAUCUGCUCUCUUACUAAAUUAGGUCAAUCAUCAGAAAGCCAUGUGCCUGGACCACCUCACCUCAGGAGCACAGAAACACUUUCACUGAGUUAUGAUUUAGUGGUGUAUUUUCUGCUUCUAACCAUAGAAUCAUUGUAACAAUGUCUCUGAGUCCAGUGUUAAUACCAUGACUUAAAAUAUUGCCCAGACUCAUUGUUCUUUAUACACAGCCUUACAUUUAAAAAAUCUCAUUUGUGACAUUAUUUCCAGGAAACAGUUUGUUUUCAUACACAGAUUUUGUGUGUACUUUCUUAUGGCAAAAAUAAAGCUACCUAAUCCAAACCUCCUAUGCUUUAAUUCCUAGAAAUUUAAGUCAGAUUCACUGCUCACUUAGGAAUCUGUAUAUUCAUUUAACUAAUAGCACCUUCUCCUUUGCUUUCUUUGCCCCUUUGCUUGUUUUGGUUUUGGUUCUUUGAAUGGAAUCUAAUCUGUUUUGAUCACUGUAAUUUAAAUAAAUAGACUGCCAUAUUCUCUUAGUAGAUAAAUAUAUAACAAGACGGUGAUCACAUGUAUAAAUGUGACAUUAAUCUUCAGUUUAACAGAGAUGAUCAUCACAUCACCAAGAAUAUUUUAGUAUUAUUAUAAUUUUCUAAUGUGAAUACAUACAUUGGGGUUACUGGUUGGAAAGCUUAUAAUUUUACCUUCAUGUGGGUGGAUAUGGCUGUAAUGCCUUUUCAUCCCACAAGAGUAUCUGAACUUACAUGUUUAAAACUAGUUCUUCAUAGCACACCUCAGGGGUUAGUCCACCAAUGAUGUCAUUCAUCAAAGCUUUUUGUACCUAGACAUUGAGGAUUGCCUUUUGGGAAGUUUUAGACUCAUACAGCAACAUACUCCAAACUGUAUAGCUGAAGCUCAUUCUAUACAAUAAAUGCAUUUGUGAAAUGUUGAAUAAAAAUUAAUGUUGGAAAUGUUGACUCUAUUAAAAUCAUUAGAAACAUCUUUACUUAAAGGAGCCCCACCCACAUCUUAUCAUUUUCUUUUUAUAUUUUUAUGAAUCUUGAAAAUAGUUCUCUCCUGCAUUGUUAGCAUACUGAAAAAUAUGGCAGAGGGCAAAUAAGGCCAAUCUGGCAAAGAAAUGUAUUUCCCCAUUCAACUCCAUCUGACUGGUGAUGAAGAUGGCUAGAUUAGUGGUUGUAUUACUUUUGUUUUGGACUUUCUGGAUCUUAUCACAAUAUUGCAUUUCUUUUAAGUCCAGAAGGAUAAAGCUCUGCCCCCAAGGUUUGUAUCUUAGUUGCAGCUUUAAAUUGACAGGAGGACUGUGUUGGAACAAUCUUCUAUGGAUAGAGUAUGACUUAAAGGAAACAUCUAAAUAAAAUAAUUCCUCAUUGUUAUGGGAAUGAAAGAUCAAAGUCAAUUUUUAAAAUAAAAAUAUUUUAGCUUCUUAGUAUUAUAUGAAAAUAUUGAGCCCAUUCUUGAAAUUUACAUAAGACCUCUAGUUGAGUUUGAUAGGCAUUUUAAAAUGCAUGUGAUAAAGGAACAAUAAAAUAGAAUAAAGUAUAAAAGUAAUGAAGCUAUUGAAAUUGAAUGCUCCUAAGGUAAACAGAAGAUGAAAAAGUAAUAUUUUUUGCCAGAUGAAGAGAUAGGCUUUCUUAUUGUAUUGUUCAGGCAAAUAAAGGCAAGAAAUAAUCAGAGCCAUGCUGUAGAAUAAGACAAGUAAGAUAAAUUUUCAUAUAAAUUGAAAUGAUAAUAUAUUUUAAAUCAGUCAUAAAAUUAUUUAUUAUCCAAAAAUAUGUACUAAUACAGUAAUAAAUGCUGUAGUUUAAAUGUUUAAAUUUCUCUUUUCUUGUAAUGAGUCCUAAAAAUAUCUAAACAUUAUAUUCAUGUUUAUAGUGAUACAAAUUAGUUUCACUUUAUUAAUAAAUCUGGCUAUAAAAAUGUCCCAUAGAGAUGUGAUUUAUAUUAAUUUUCUAAGAUUUUAAAGAUAAUACAUGAAGUGACAAGUUAACCUGGGGUGGUUUAUUUUUUUUUUUAAGAUUUUAUUUAUUUAUUCAUGAGAGACACAGAGACAUAGAGAAGCAAAGACAUAGAGGGAGAAGCAGACUCCAUGCAGGGGGCCCAAUGUGGAACUCGAUCCGGGACCCCAGAUCAUGCCCUGAGCCGAAGUCAGAGGUUAACCACUGAGCCACCCCGGUGUCCCUGGGUGGUAUAUUAUAACACUAAUCUCAAACAGAAAGUAUGUUGUAAAGACAUUGUCCAAAAA